This 253-nucleotide ribosomal RNA is filed under the name uncultured bacterium. RNAcentral describes it as "partial 16S ribosomal RNA". It matches the Rfam family "Bacterial small subunit ribosomal RNA", at positions 524 to 776 of the family's 1533-position model. The record is from RNAcentral.
UACGUAGGGUGCAAGCGUUGUCCGGAAUUAUUGGGCGUAAAGAGCUCGUAGGCGGUCUGUCGCGUCUGCUGUGAAAACUCAGGGCUUAACCCUGAGCUUGCAGUGGGUACGGGCAGACUAGAGUGCGGUAGGGGAGACUGGAAUUCCUGGUGUAGCGGUGAAAUGCGCAGAUAUCAGGAGGAACACCGGUGGCGAAGGCGGCUACCUGGACCGGUUCUGACACUGAGGAGCGAAAGCGUGGGGAGCAAACAGG